GACUUUGGCCUUCCAUGGUGUAAUUUAGGUUUUUGUACACAACUGAAGAUAAAAUAAACUGAGUUCUGUAGGUAUACCAGGUUUAAAUUCGUUGUAAGGACACAUGGCGGAGUCAAGAAACAAAAGAAAGAAGACAACUUCACAGCACGACGACCCAAACUGAACCCAACUUGGCAGAAGAAAACGUCAAGCAACAAUAUCGUGAGGUGACACUAAGCAAAAAAAUGAAACUCUAUACCUUAGGAUAAGACAGAACAUCAAAAAGAGGACAUCAACAGGCCGACAGCUGAAAAAACAUGAGCAGGAUUUAUUGAUAAAAAACUGACAAAUAGAGUAUAUUACUGACAAACAUCAGGAAACAGACGGCUGACAUGCAGAGUCAGAAGACGGCUAUUGAAAAGCAAAGAGAAGAGUUGGACAACCUGCUCAACAUGAUCAAGAAAGAAGUGAGAGAGUUGGAAGUAAUAAAUACUGAGACUGAGAUAAAGAAAAAACACCUGGUGAAAAUAAUAAGAAUGAGCAGAAGAAAAGAGAUGAAGACAAAUACUAAGGCUGCUAAGCAAAGUAUGGAAGAGGGAACAGAGCAGAAACCAGAGGUGGAAAUACAGGGCAGGAUUAAUAGGCAAAGGCCAAGUCAUGGGGAGUUUCACGGAACCAAAGAAAUAACUCAACCUAUCUCAGCAGAAGACAAUAUAGAGAUGCAGAGAAUGAUUUUGGAAAUAGAAGAGAUCAGAAGGAUGCUGCACAAGUUUAAAGAAGAUACAACUCUAAGCACUAGAAAGGAGACAACACAAAUGAAAUGGCUGAAUUUUCAUUUUAAAAAAGGGAAACAGAAGUUGGAGCAGUUCAUGGAGAAGACUACAAAAGAGAGAGAUGAGCUAGAAAUCAUAAAGAAAAGAACACAACAACAAAGGAAGGAGCUUGAACAGAAAUUGGAAGAUACUUUUAAAAGAAUUCUGACUAUAAGUGAGUUAACACAAAUGAGAAAGUUUGCUACAGAGAUAAACAACACCCGAGAAGAACUCCUAAAAACAAAAAAUGAAACACAAAACUACAAGGAAGAAGUCAAAAAAUACACAGACAAGCUGACAUCCAUGAAAACGCAGGUCAGCAGAUGGAUAUUGACAGAAUCUGCAAACAAGCCACUCUGUUUUUACCUGCAGAAACCAUCAAAAGAGAAAGACAUAAACUCUCUCAUAGGUCAAACAGCACCAAAUGCAACAAACAAAGAUGGAGCAGUACCUCAAAUAAAAGAAGGAGAUGAAGCAAUGGCUUUACAACAAUCUUUUACAGUGGAAGACCAAUAUCAAAGUGAAGAAACAAUAGAAGAAUGGAACACGCAAUCAAACUACAAGCAAGAUUUUGGAGUGGACUUUAAGGAAGAGCAGAAUUUGUUUUUACAAAUGCACAAAGACAUUCACGAAGAAUCACUGAUAGAUGAUAAAGUAAUAAUGCAUAAAACAGAAAAGGAACAAGUUAAAAAUCAACUCCUAAAAUUCAAGAACCAAAAGGAGGAAAUCAAAAAGGAAAUUAAGAACAGUAUGAAAAGCAUGAAGGGGAAACAUCAAGAAAUUGAUCAGCUCAUUAAAGAAAUAAAAGACUUUCAGAGACCAGAGAUAGAAACUGGGUUACAAACUGCAGGUAGGGAAAUAAAUAAUAUCGGCAUAGGGAAAGCUAGACUAAGAGGAAAAAUAGACAGUGACAUUUGGAGAGUAAAAAACAAUAUUUAUAAAGAACAAAUUAAAUAUGAACUCCAAAUGCAAGAAAGGGAUAAUGACAGUAAGGUGAAACAAGAAAAGAAACAUGAUUCUGAAUUGAUGACAGUGGAUGAUUAUAAAAAAAUAAUUCUUGAAUCAAAGGAGUUCCAUCCUGAGGUGACAGAUGGUUAUUCCAACAAAAAAGACACAGGAAUGGACACAGCUAGUCUACAAACACUCAGGACAGAAGUUUAUAAAACACAAAAAAUCAUGAGAUCUGUAAUUCUAAAACUUGACACCCAAAAAAGUGAAAAUGUUGGAAAAGAUUAUAAUCAACCUCAAGAUGGUGAAAUUGAGGGAUUGUUAGAGGAUGUUAAAAAGUUCCAAGAUAUUUUAAAAAUGGUGACAACUGAAGUGGUAAAAAAUGAGAUCUCUUUGAGAAACGAAAGGAGCAACAUAAAAUUUGAAGCAAAAAGACUCAAAAGAGACCUGGCUCAGAAGUUGGAGAAAAUUCUGUGUGAAAAAGAUGAAUUAGAUAUUUUUAAAAUGCAAAUAAAGAAACGAGCAGAAGCAAUUCAACAGAAGAUGGAGAAAAUGAACAAGGUUAAGAGUGCUGUGGAGGAAAUGGCUGUUAAGUCUAAAAUUAAGCAGGAAGACAUGAAGAUUAUUUUUAGGAAUACCCAAGAAAAGCUGAGACACUUAGAGGGGUGUAAUGAAAAGACUGAUGAUGCAAUACAACACCUACAAAACAGUUUUAUUUUAAUAACUAAAAGAAAAGUUCAAUUAGAAGAAACCUUAAGACUCAAAAAACAACAGGUCCAGGUGGAGGUAUACAAAGUAAAAAGUUUGAGGAACAAUAUCAAAAGUGAGACUAAGAAGCCUGGUGACAGAGUACAACCAAUAAAAAGAAAAAUAGGUCCAGAAAUAGACCUGUUGAAAUCAGAGUUUGGAAUAAAGAGACAAAAAUGCGGAAAGACAAAAGAAAAGAAAUUACUCAGGAAAGUGACCAGAAGGAAAAGAGGAUUAGAUUCAACCUUGAGACAACCAGGUAAAUUAGAACAACUAAAACCUGAGGAUCAGUGUAUUAAACAUCAAAUGAGUGAUAUCCAAUUAUUCAAACAGCAUACAUGGCUGGAAAAGCGUCAGAUAAUAAAGAUGAAUACAACUCCUGAUGAUUCAAAAGUUAUAUCUUCUGUUUUUGACCUUGAAAUCAUUAGACAAAAAAUUCAUUCAAAUUUGGAGGUAAUAAAAAAGAACACUGGACUACUAGCUGAUGUAAAUAUCCAUUUAGAAAAACAAAGAGAAUGUCUCCAAAACUUAAAAGAUCACAGUAAGGCCAUAAUAAAAUGCAUGAUAAGGAACAAAGAAACUGUUAGGGUCAAAGCAGAAAAGAAUGAGGAAGACAACCGCCAAAAAGAAAAACAAAAACUUGAAAACACACUUGAGGCAAUACGAAGAGAAAAAAAAGAGAUGGAAGUGCUGAAGGCUGAGCUGGACUUCACAAAAAAAGAAAAUCAACAAAUGAUGAGACGAGGUAUUCGAAAAGACCAUGAGGUGAAAAUGAUGUGGGCUGAGAUUAAAGAAGAAAAAGAUGCUCGCAAGAGAAAACAAAGAAGAAACAAAGAGCUUGAUGAAAAGCUAGAGAGGAUGACCAAAAAAAAAGAAGAACUGAAAAUCAUGAAGCUUAAAAUGGAAAGAGGAAAAGAUGACACAACAGGUGGAACAAGACUGUCAAGGAUAUCAAUCACUGCAAAUGUUCCAAUGCAACUUUCAUGUACGUGGGUACUUUUUUCUAAAUGGACAGAAAAGUGUAACCAAAUGAAAAGACAGAUUUCUGAUUUCUACAAGACCAAAAAUAAUGAAAAUGCUUGCAUUAAACAUGAAACAAAAAUAACAUUGCAGGCAAAAGAAGACAUUAAAAACAUCAAGGAACAAAUUACCAAACAAAAAGAAUGUAUUCAAGGUGCUUUAAAAAGUGUGAAAAAAAGGGAACAAUGUUUGAUACAUUCAGAAACAGAAAAACUGCUAAGAAACAAAAACCUUCUAGAGGUUCUAAAAGAAAAACUUCAGCAUUUGAGUGAAAGGAUGACUGGUGCCAUUGCAGACAAACUUAGGAGGCUACAAAAGGACAAUGGAAAUGUAGUGAAGCUGGUCAGUCAUUUAGAACAAGAGCAUAUCUCUCUAGAUUCCCUGAAAACACAUAUGCUUUUCUACUCUGAAAUACUGCAGAAGGCAAAAGAAGGAUACAUAUGCCUGAUAACAGACUUUGCCAGGCAACAAGAAGAAACAAGAGAUCAACUGAUGCACCAGCUUGUAUUGGAAAAGCAAGAAAGGGAAACUCUGAAAAACUGGCUGAAGAAAGACAGAGACAAUCUGGAAAGAGAGAAAAAUGGCAUGAAUCAAGAAAAAGAAAACUUGUUGCAGAAACAACAAGAGUGUGAAACCCUAAAAGACGAGCUGAAGAAAGACAGAGACAAUCUGGAAAGGGAAAAAAAUAGCAUCCAUCUAGAAAAAAGGAACUUGAUGCAGAAACAACAAGUGUAUAAAACCCUGAAAGAUGAGCUGAAAAAAGACAGAGACAGUCUGGAAAGAGAGAAAAAUAGCAUACAUCAAGAAAAAGAGAACUUGUUGCAGAAACAACAAGAGUAUGAAACCCUAAAAGACGAGCUGAAGAAAGACAAAGGGAAUGUGGAAAGAGAUAAAAAUGGCAUGAAUCAGGUAAAAGAUUACUUGACGCAGACAAUGUUUGACAUCCAGCAGCAAAUGCAAGUUUUGGAGCAAAAGUUAAGACAUAAAAAGGACAGUCUGCAAAUCACAGCAAGUCGACUAGAAAAGACAAGAACACAUGCUGACAUCCUGUGUGUUGAGGUUAACAAAGACAAAGCAAAAAAUCUGUCCCUUCAGCUUCACAAAAACAGAGACCUACUUGAGAGAGCAAAGAACACAAUUGUCAUAAAGCAAAAAGAACAACAACUGAUGGAAGAGGACAUCAAGAGACAAAUCAAAGAACUACAGUCAAGCCGGUAUGACUUGCAGAGCCAAAGACAAGAACUGGGACUUUUAAGGCAAGAUCUCAACAAUGAGAUAGAAGAGGUCCGGGCUGCAAAGGAGACCAUGAAGGUGAAAAGUGAUCAAAUAAGUCACAUGCAGACUGUCCUUGACACAGAGAGAGAAAUGCUUUGGAACCAGAAAGAUACAAUGGAAGAACAAAUAUUGAAUCUACAUAGGAGAGCUGAUCAAAUUAUGGAAUGUGAAAAGCAUCUACGGGUUCUGAGUAAAAAAAUUAAACAUGUGAGUGAGAGGAUGACUGGUGCCAUUGCAGAUAAACUUAGCAGGCUCCAAAGCGACAAUGGAAAUGUAGUGAAGAUGGUCAGUCAUUUGGAACAAGAGCAUAUCUCUCUAGAUUUCCUGAAAACACAUAUGCUUUUCUACUCUGAAAUACUGCAGAAGGCAAAGGAAGGAUACAUAUGCCUGAUAACAGACUUUGCCAGGCAACAAGAAGAAAUAAGAGAUCAACUGAUGCACCAGCUUGUAUUUGAAAAGCAAGAAAGGGAAACUCUGAAAAACUGGCUAAAGAAAGACAGAGACAAUCUGGAAAGAGAGAAAAAUGGCAUAAAUCAAGAAAAAGAAAAGUUGUUGCAGAAACAACAAGAGUAUGAAACCCUAAAAGAUGAGCUGAAGAAAGACAGAGACAAUCUGGAAAGGGAGAAAAGUAGCAUCCAUCUAGGAAAAAGGAACUUGAUGCAGAAACAACAAGUGUAUGAAACCCUGAAAGACGAGCUGAAAAAAGACAGAGACAGUCUGGAAAGAGAGAAAAAUGGCAUGAAUCAAAUGAAAGAGGACUUGAUGCAGAAACAACAAGAAUAUGAAAUACUGAAAGACGAGCUGAAGAAAGACAUAGACAAUCUGGAAAGAGAUAAAAAUAGCAUACAUCGAGAAAAAGAGAACUUGUUGCAGAAACAACAAGUGUAUGAAACCCUGAAAGACGAGCUGAAGAAAGACAAAGGGAAUGUGGAAAGAGAUAAAAAUGGCAUGAAUCGAGUAAAAGAUUACUUGACGCAGAAAAUGUCCGACAUCCAGCAGCAAAUGCAAGUGUUGAAGCAAAGGUUAAGAGAUGAAAAGGACAGUCUGCAAAUCACAGCAAGUCGACUAGAAAAGACAAGAACACAUGCUGACAUCCUGUGUGUUGAGGUUAACAAAGACAAAGCAAAAAAUCUGUCCCUUCAGCUUCACAAAACCAGAGAGCUACUUGAGAAAGCUAAGAACACAAUUGUCAUAAAGCAAAAAGAACAACAACUGAUGGAAGAGGACAUCAAGAGACAAAUCAAAGAACUACAGUCAAGCCGGUAUGACUUGCAGAGCCAAAGACAAGAACUGGGACUUUUAAGGCAAGAUCUCAACACUGAGAUAGAAGAGGUCUGGGCUGCAAAGGAGACCAUGAAGGUGAAAAGUGAUCAAAUAAGUCACAUGCAGACUGUCCUUGACACAGAGAGAGAAAUGCUUUGGAACCAGAAAGAUACAAUGGAAGAACAAACAUUGAAUCUACAUAGGAGAGCUGAUCAAAUUAUGGAAUGUGAAAAGCAUCUACGGGUUCUGAGUGAAAAAAUUAAGCAUUUGAGUGAGAGGAUGACUGGUGCCAUUGCAGAUAAACUUAGCAGGCUCCAAAACGACAAUGGAAAUGUAGUGAAGAUGGUCAGUCGUUUGGAACAAGAGCAUAUCUCUCUAGAUUCCCUGAAAACACAUAUGCUUUUCUACUCUGAAAUACUGCAGAAGGCAAAGGAAGGAUACAUAUGCCUGAUAACAGACUUUGCCAGGCAACAAGAAGAAAUAAGAGAUCAACUGAUGCACCAGCUUGUAUUGGAAAAGCAAGAAAGGGAAACUCUGAAAAACUGGCUGAAGAAAGACAGAGACAAUCUGGAAAGAGAGAAAAAUGGCAUGAAUCAAGAAAAAGAAAACUUGUUGCAGAAACAACAAGAGUGUGAAACCCUAAAAGACGAGUUGAAGAAAGACAGAGACAAUCUGGAAAGGGAGAAAAAUAGCAUCCAUCUAGAAACAAGGAACUUGAUGCAGAAACAACAAGUGUAUGAAACCCUAAAAGACGAGCUGAAAAAAGACAGAGACAGUCUGGAAAGAGAGAAAAAUGGCAUGAAUCAAACGAAAGAGGACUUGAUGCAGAAACAACAAGAAUAUGAAAUCCUGAAAGACGAGCUGAAGAAAGACAAAGGGAAUGUGGAAAGAGAUAAAAAUGGCAUGAAUCAAGUAAAAGAUUACUUGAAGCAGAAAAUGUCCGACAUCCAGCAGCAAAUGCAAGUGUUGGAGCAAAAGUUAAGAGAUGAAAAGGAUAGUCUGCGAAUCACAGCAAGUCGACUAGAAAAGACAAGAACACAUGCUGACAUCCUGUUUGUUGAGGUUAACAAAGAUAAAGCAAAACAUCUGUCCCUUCAGCGUCACACAACCAGAGACCUACUUGAGAGAGCAAAGAACACAAUUGUCAUAAAGCAAAAAGAACAACAACUGAUUGAAGAGGACAUCAAGAGACAAAUCAAAGAACUACAGUCAAGCCGGUAUGACUUGCAGAGCCAAAGACAAGAACUGGGACUUUUAAGGCAAGAUCUCAACAAUGAGAUAGAAGAGGUCCGGGUCGCAAAGGAGACCAUGAAGGUAAAAAGAGACCAAAUAGGUCAUAUGCAGACUGUUCCUGACACAGAGAGAGAAAUACUUUGGAACCAGAAAGAUACAAUGGAAAAACAAAGAUUGACUCUACAUAGAAAAGCUGAUCAAAUGACAGAAUCUGAAAAGCAUCUAGGGGAUCUAAGAGAAAAAAUUAAGCAUGUGAGUGAGAGAAUGACUGGUGAUAUUGCAGAUAAACUUAGCAGGCUCCAACAGGACAAUGGAAAAGUAGUGAAGCUGGUCAGUCGUUUGGAACAAGAGCAUAUCUCUCUAGAUUCCCUGAAAACACAUAUGCUUUUCUACUCUGAAAUACUGCAGAAGGCAAAGGAAGGAUACAUAUGCCUGAUAACAGACUUUGCCAGGCAACAAGAAGAAAUAAGAGAUCAACUGAUGCACCAGCUUGUAUUGGAAAAGCAAGAAAGGGAAACUCUGAAAAACUGGCUGAAGAAAGACAGAGACAAUCUGGAAAGAGAGAAAAAUGGCAUGAAUCAAGUAAAAGAAAACUUGUUGCAGAAACAACAAGAGUGUGAAACCCUAAAAGACGAGCUGAAGAAAGACAGAGACAAUCUGGAAAGGGAGAAAAAUAGCAUUCAUCUAGAAACAAGGAACUUGAUGCAGAAACAACAAGAGUAUGAAACCCUAAAAGACGAGCUGAAAAAAGACAGAGACAGUCUGGAAAGAGAGAAAAAUGGCAUGAAUCAAACGAAAGAGGACUUGAUGCAGAAACAACAAGAAUAUGAAAUCCUGAAAGACGAGCUGAAGAAAGACAAAGGGAAUGUGGAAAGAGAUAAAAAUGGCAUGAAUCAAGUAAAAGAUUACUUGAAGCAGAAAAUGUCCGACAUCCAGCAGCAAAUGCAAGUGUUGGAGCAAAAGUUAAGAGAUGAAAAGGAUAGUCUGCGAAUCACAGCAAGUCGACUAGAAAAGACAAGAACACAUGCUGACAUCCUGUUUGUUGAGGUUAACAAAGAUAAAGCAAAACAUCUGUCCCUUCAGCGUCACACAACCAGAGACCUACUUGAGAGAGCAAAGAACACAAUUGUCAUAAAGCAAAAAGAACAACAACUGAUGGAAGAGGACAUCAAGAGACAAAUCAAAGAACUACAGUCAAGCCGGUAUGACUUGCAGAGCCAAAGACAAGAACUGGGACUUUUAAGGCAAGAUCUCAACAAUGAGAUAGAAGAGGUCCGGGUCGCAAAGGAGACCAUGAAGGUAAAAAGAGACCAAAUAGGUCAUAUGCAGACUGUUCCUGACACAGAGAGAGAAAUACUUUGGAACCAGAAAGAUACAAUGGAAAAACAAAGAUUGACUCUACAUAGAAAAGCUGAUCAAAUGACAGAAUCUGAAAAGCAUCUAGGGGAUCUAAGAGAAAAAAUUAAGCAUGUGAGUGAGAGAAUGACUGGUGAUAUUGCAGAUAAACUUAGCAGGCUCCAACAGGACAAUGGAAAAGUAGUGAAGCUGGUCAGUCGUUUGGAACAAGAGCAUAUCUCUCUAGAUUCCCUGAAAACACAUAUGCUUUUCUACUCUGAAAUACUGCAGAAGGCAAAGGAAGGAUACAUAUGCCUGAUAACAGACUUUGCCAGGCAACAAGAAGAAAUAAGAGAUCAACUGAUGCACCAGCUUGUAUUGGAAAAGCAAGAAAGGGAAACUCUGAAAAACUGGCUGAAGAAAGACAGAGACAAUCUGGAAAGAGAGAAAAAUGGCAUGAAUCAAGUAAAAGAAAACUUGUUGCAGAAACAACAAGAGUGUGAAACCCUAAAAGACGAGCUGAAGAAAGACAGAGACAAUCUGGAAAGGGAGAAAAAUAGCAUCCAUCUAGAAAAAAGGAACUUGAUGCAGAAACAACAAGAGUAUGAAACCCUAAAAGACGAGCUGAAAAAAGACAGAGACAGUCUGGAAAGAGAGAAAAAUGGCAUGAAUCAAACGAAAGAGGACUUGAUGCAGAAACAACAAGAAUAUGAAAUCCUGAAAGACGAGCUGAAGAAAGACAAAGGGAAUGUGGAAAGAGAUAAAAAUGGCAUGAAUCAAGUAAAAGAUUACUUGAAGCAGAAAAUGUCCGACAUCCAGCAGCAAAUGCAAGUGUUGGAGCAAAAGUUAAGAGAUGAAAAGGAUAGUCUGCGAAUCACAGCAAGUCGACUAGAAAAGACAAGAACACAUGCUGACAUCCUGUCUGUUGAGGUUAACAAAGAUAAAGCAAAACAUCUGUCCCUUCAGCGUCACACAACCAGAGACCUACUUGAGAGAGCAAAGAACACAAUUGUCAUAAAGCAAAAAGAACAACAACUGAUGGAAGAGGACAUCAAGAGACAAAUCAAAGAACUACAGUCAAGCCGGUAUGACUUGCAGAGCCAAAGACAAGAACUGGGACUUUUAAUGCAAGAUCUCAACACUGAGAUAGAAGAGGUCCGGGUCGCAAAGGAGACCAUGAAGGUAAAAAGAGACCAAAUAGGUCAUAUGCAGACUGUUCCUGACACAGAGAGAGAAAUACUUUGGAACCAGAAAGAUACAAUGGAAAAACAAAGAUUGACUCUACAUAGAAAAGCUGAUCAAAUGACAGAAUCUGAAAAGCAUCUAGGGGAUCUGAGAGAAAAAAUUAAGCAUGUGAGUGAGAGAAUGACUGGUGAUAUUGCAGAUAAACUUAGCAGGCUCCAACAGGACAAUGGAAAAGUAGUGAAGCUGGUCAGUCGUUUGGAACAAGAGCAUAUCUCUCUAGAUUCCCUGAAAACACAUAUGCUUUUCUACUCUGAAAUACUGCAGAAGGCAAAGGAAGGAUACAUAUGCCUGAUAACAGACUUUGCCAGGCAACAAGAAGAAAUAAGAGAUCAACUGAUGCACCAGCUUGUAUUGGAAAAGCAAGAAAGGGAAACUCUGAAAAACUGGCUGAAGAAAGACAGAGACAAUCUGGAAAGAGAGAAAAAUGGCAUGAAUCAAGAAAAAGAAAACUUGUUGCAGAAACAACAAGAGUGUGAAACCCUAAAAGACGAGCUGAAGAAAGACAGAGACAAUCUGGAAAGGGAGAAAAAUAGCAUCCAUCUAGAAAAAAGGAACUUGAUGCAGAAACAACAAGAGUAUGAAACCCUAAAAGACGAGCUGAAAAAAGACAGAGACAGUCUGGAAAGAGAGAAAAAUGGCAUGAAUCAAACGAAAGAGGACUUGAUGCAGAAACAACAAGAAUAUGAAAUCCUGAAAGACGAGCUGAAGAAAGACAAAGGGAAUGUGGAAAGAGAUAAAAAUGGCAUGAAUCAAGUAAAAGAUUACUUGAAGCAGAAAAUGUCCGACAUCCAGCAGCAAAUGCAAGUGUUGGAGCAAAAGUUAAGAGAUGAAAAGGAUAGUCUGCGAAUCACAGCAAGUCGACUAGAAAAGACAAGAACACAUGCUGACAUCCUGUCUGUUGAGGUUAACAAAGAUAAAGCAAAACAUCUGUCCCUUCAGCGUCACACAACCAGAGACCUACUUGAGAGAGCAAAGAACACAAUUGUCAUAAAGCAAAAAGAACAACAACUGAUGGAAGAGGACAUCAAGAGACAAAUCAAAGAACUACAGUCAAGCCGGUAUGACUUGCAGAGCCAAAGACAAGAACUGGGACUUUUAAUGCAAGAUCUCAACACUGAGAUAGAAGAGGUCCGGGUCGCAAAGGAGACCAUGAAGGUAAAAAGAGACCAAAUAGGUCAUAUGCAGACUGUUCCUGACACAGAGAGAGAAAUACUUUGGAACCAGAAAGAUACAAUGGAAAAACAAAGAUUGACUCUACAUAGAAAAGCUGAUCAAAUGACAGAAUCUGAAAAGCAUCUAGGGGAUCUGAGAGAAAAAAUUAAGCAUGUGAGUGAGAGAAUGACUGGUGAUAUUGCAGAUAAACUUAGCAGGCUCCAACAGGACAAUGGAAAAGUAGUGAAGCUGGUCAGUCGUUUGGAACAAGAGCAUAUCUCUCUAGAUUCCCUGAAAACACAUAUGCUUUUCUACUCUGAAAUACUGCAGAAGGCAAAGGAAGGAUACAUAUGCCUGAUAACAGACUUUGCCAGGCAACAAGAAGAAAUAAGAGAUCAACUGAUGCACCAGCUUGUAUUGGAAAAGCAAGAAAGGGAAACUCUGAAAAACUGGCUGAAGAAAGACAGAGACAAUCUGGAAAGAGAGAAAAAUGGCAUGAAUCAAGAAAAAGAAAACUUGUUGCAGAAACAACAAGAGUGUGAAACCCUAAAAGACGAGCUGAAGAAAGACAGAGACAAUCUGGAAAGGGAGAAAAAUAGCAUCCAUCUAGAAAAAAGGAACUUGAUGCAGAAACAACAAGAGUAUGAAACCCUAAAAGACGAGCUGAAGAAAGACAAAGGGAAUGUGGAAAGAGAUAAAAAUGGCAUGAAUCAAGUAAAAGAUUACUUGACGCAGAAAAUGUCCGACAUCCAGCAGCAAAUGCAAGUGUUGAAGCAAAGGUUAAGAGAUGAAAAGGACAGUCUGCAAAUCACAGCAAGUCGACUAGAAAAGACAAGAACACAUGCUGACAUCCUGUGUGUUGAGGUUAACAAAGACAAAGCAAAAAAUCUGUCCCUUCAGCUUCACAAAACCAGAGACCUACUUGAGAAAGCUAAGAACACAAUUGUCAUAAAGCAAAAAGAACAACAACUGAUGGAAGAGGACAUCAAGAGACAAAUCAAAGAACUACAGUCAAGCCGGUAUGACUUGCAGAGACAAAGACAAGAACUGGGACUUUUAAGGCAAGAUCUCAACAAUGAGAUAGAAGAGGUCCGGGCUGCAAAGGAGACCAUGAAGGUGAAAAGUGAUCAAAUAAGUCACAUGCAGACUGUCCUUGACACAGAGAGAGAAAUGCUUUGGAACCAGAAAGAUACAAUGGAAGAACAAAUAUUGAAUCUACAUAGGAGAGCUGAUCAAAUUAUGGAAUGUGAAAAGCAUCUACGGGUUCUGAAUGAAAAAAUUAAGCAUUUGAGUGAGAGGAUGACUGGUGCCAUUGCAGAUAAACUUAGCAGGCUCCAAAACGACAAUGGAAAUGUAGUGAAGAUGGUCAGUCAUUUGCAACAAGAGCAUAUCUCUCUAGAUUCCCUGAAAACACAUAUGCUUUUCUACUCUGAAAUACUGCAGAAGGCAAAGGAAGGAUACAUAUGCCUGAUAACAGACUUUGCCAGGCAACAAGAAGAAAUAAGAGAUCAACUGAUGCACCAGCUUGUAUUGGAAAAGCAAGAAAGGGAAACUCUGAAAAACUGGCUGAAGAAAGACAGAGACAAUCUGGAAAGAGAGAAAAAUGGCAUGAAUCAAGAAAAAGAAAACUUGUUGCAGAAACAACAAGAGUGUGAAACCCUAAAAGACGAGCUGAAGAAAGACAGAGACAAUCUGGAAAGGGAGAAAAAUAGCAUCCAUCUAGAAAGAAGGAACUUGAUGCAGAAACAACAAGAGUAUGAAACCCUAAAAGACGAGCUGAAAAAAGACAGAGACAGUCUGGAAAGAGAGAGAAAUGGCAUGAAUCAAAUGAAAGAGGGCUUGAUGCAGAAACAACAAGAAUAUGAAAUCCUGAAAGACGAGCUGAAGAAAGACAAAGGGAAUGUGGAAAGAGAUAAAAAUGGCAUGAAUCAAGUAAAAGAUUACUUGAAGCAGAAAAUGUCCGACAUCCAGCAGCAAAUGCAAGUGUUGGAGCAAAAGUUAAGAGAUGAAAAGGAUAGUCUGCGAAUCACAGCAAGUCGACUAGAAAAGACAAGAACACAUGCUGACAUCCUGUUUGUUGAGGUUAACAAAGAUAAAGCAAAACAUCUGUCCCUUCAGCUUCACACAACCAGAGACCUACUUGAGAGAGCAAAGAACACAAUUGUCAUAAAGCAAAAAGAACAACAACUGAUGGAAGAGGACAUCAAGAGACAAAUCAAAGAACUGCAGUCAAGCCGGUAUGACUUGCAGAGCCAAAGACAAGAACUGGGACUUUUAAGGCAAGAUCUCAACAAUGAGAUAGAAGAGGUCCGGGCUGCAAAGGAGACCAUGAAGGUGAAAAGUGAUCAAAUAAGUCACAUGCAGACUGUCCUUGACACAGAGAGAGAAAUGCUUUGGAACCAGAAAGAUACAAUGGAAGAACAAAUAUUGAAUCUACAUAGGAGAGCUGAUCAAAUUAUGGAAUGCGAAAAGCAUCUACGGGUUCUGAGUGAAAAAAUUAAGCAUGUGAGUGAGAGGAUGACUGGUGCCAUUGCAGAUAAACUUAGCAGGCUCCAAAGCGACAAUGGAAAUGUAGUGAAGAUGGUCAGUCAUUUGGAACAAGAGCAUAUCUCUCUAGAUUCCCUGAAAACACAUAUGCUUUUCUACUCUGAAAUACUGCAGAAGGCAAAGGAAGGAUACAUAUGCCUGAUAACAGACUUUGCCAGGCAACAAGAAGAAAUAAGAGAUCAACUGAUGCACCAGCUUGUAUUGGAAAAGCAAGAAAGGGAAACUCUGAAAAACUGGCUGAAGAAAGACAGAGACAAUCUGGAAAGAGAGAAAAAUGGCAUGAAUCAAGAAAAAGAAAACCUGUUGCAGAAACGACAAGAGUGUGAAACCCUAAAAGACGAGCUGAAGAAAGACAGAGACAAUCUGGAAAGGGAGAAAAAUAGCAUCCAUCUAGAAAAAAGGAACUUGAUGCAGAAACAACAAGAGUAUGAAACCCUAAAAGACGAGCUGAAAAAAGACAGAGACAGUCUGGAAAGAGAGAGAAAUGGCAUGAAUCAAAUGAAAGAGGGCUUGAUGCAGAAACAACAAGAAUAUGAAAUCCUGAAAGACGAGCUGAAGAAAGACAAAGGGAAUGUGGAAAGAGAUAAAAAUGGCAUGAAUCAAGUAAAAGAUUACUUGAAGCAGAAAAUGUCCGACAUCCAGCAGCAAAUGCAAGUGUUGGAGCAAAAGUUAAGAGAUGAAAAGGAUAGUCUGCGAAUCACAGCAAGUCGACUAGAAAAGACAAGAACACAUGCUGACAUCCUGUUUGUUGAGGUUAACAAAGAUAAAGCAAAACAUCUGUCCCUUCAGCUUCACACAACCAGAGACCUACUUGAGAGAGCAAAGAACACAAUUGUCAUAAAGCAAAAAGAACAACAACUGAUGGAAGAGGACAUCAAGAGACAAAUCAAAGAACUGCAGUCAAGCCGGUAUGACUUGCAGAGCCAAAGACAAGAACUGGGACUUUUAAGGCAAGAUCUCAACAAUGAGAUAGAAGAGGUCCGGGCUGCAAAGGAGACCAUGAAGGUGAAAAGUGAUCAAAUAAGUCACAUGCAGACUGUCCUUGACACAGAGAGAGAAAUGCUUUGGAACCAGAAAGAUACAAUGGAAGAACAAAUAUUGAAUCUACAUAGGAGAGCUGAUCAAAUUAUGGAAUGCGAAAAGCAUCUACGGGUUCUGAGUGAAAAAAUUAAGCAUGUGAGUGAGAGGAUGACUGGUGCCAUUGCAGAUAAACUUAGCAGGCUCCAAAGCGACAAUGGAAAUGUAGUGAAGAUGGUCAGUCAUUUGGAACAAGAGCAUAUCUCUCUAGAUUCCCUGAAAACACAUAUGCUUUUCUACUCUGAAAUACUGCAGAAGGCAAAGGAAGGAUACAUAUGCCUGAUAACAGACUUUGCCAGGCAACAAGAAGAAAUAAGAGAUCAACUGAUGCACCAGCUUGUAUUGGAAAAGCAAGAAAGGGAAACUCUGAAAAACUGGCUGAAGAAAGACAGAGACAAUCUGGAAAGAGAGAAAAAUGGCAUGAAUCAAGAAAAAGAAAACUUGUUGCAGAAACAACAAGAGUGUGAAACCCUAAAAGACGAGCUGAAGAAAGACAGAGACAAUCUGGAAAGGGAGAAAAAUAGCAUCCAUCUAGAAAAAAGGAACUUGAUGCAGAAACAACAAGAGUAUGAAACCCUAAAAGACGAGCUGAAAAAAGACAGAGACAGUCUGGAAAGAGAGAGAAAUGGCAUGAAUCAAAUGAAAGAGGGCUUGAUGCAGAAACAACAAGAAUAUGAAAUCCUGAAAGACGAGCUGAAGAAAGACAAAGGGAAUGUGGAAAGAGAUAAAAAUGGCAUGAAUCAAGUAAAAGAUUACUUGAAGCAGAAAAUGUCCGACAUCCAGCAGCAAAUGCAAGUGUUGGAGCAAAAGUUAAGAGAUGAAAAGGAUAGUCUGCGAAUCACAGCAAGUCGACUAGAAAAGACAAGAACACAUGCUGACAUCCUGUUUGUUGAGGUUAACAAAGAUAAAGCAAAACAUCUGUCCCUUCAGCUUCACACAACCAGAGACCUACUUGAGAGAGCAAAGAACACAAUUGUCAUAAAGCAAAAAGAACAACAACUGAUGGAAGAGGACAUCAAGAGACAAAUCAAAGAACUGCAGUCAAGCCGGUAUGACUUGCAGAGCCAAAGACAAGAACUGGGACUUUUAAGGCAAGAUCUCAACAAUGAGAUAGAAGAGGUCCGGGCUGCAAAGGAGACCAUGAAGGUGAAAAGUGAUCAAAUAAGUCACAUGCAGACUGUCCUUGACACAGAGAGAGAAAUGCUUUGGAACCAGAAAGAUACAAUGGAAGAACAAAUAUUAAAUCUACAUAGGAGAGCUGAUCAAAUUAUGGAAUGCGAAAAGCAUCUACGGGUUCUGAGUGAAAAAAUUAAGCAUGUGAGUGAGAGGAUGACUGGUGCCAUUGCAGAUAAACUUAGCAGGCUCCAAAGCGACAAUGGAAAUGUAGUGAAGAUGGUCAGUCAUUUGGAACAAGAGCAUAUCUCUCUAGAUUCCCUGAAAACACAUAUGCUUUUCUACUCUGAAAUACUGCAGAAGGCAAAGGAAGGAUACAUAUGCCUGAUAACAGACUUUGCCAGGCAACAAGAAGAAAUAAGAGAUCAACUGAUGCACCAGCUUGUAUUGGAAAAGCAAGAAAGGGAAACUCUGAAAAACUGGCUGAAGAAAGACAGAGACAAUCUGGAAAGAGAGAAAAAUGGCAUGAAUCAAGAAAAAGAAAACUUGUUGCAGAAACAACAAAAGUGUGAAACCCUAAAAGACGAGCUGAAGAAAGACAGAGACAAUCUGGAAAGGGAGAAAAAUAGCAUCCAUCUAGAAAAAAGGAACUUGAUGCAGAAACAACAAGAGUAUGAAACCCUAAAAGACGAGCUGAAGAAAGACAGAGACAAUCUGGAAAGGGAGAAAAAUAGCAUCCAUCUAGAAAAAAGGAACUUGAUGCAGAAACAACAAGAGUAUGAAACCCUAAAAGACGAGCUGAAAAAAGACAGAGACAGUCUGGAAAGACAGAAAAAUGGCAUGAAUCAAAUGAAAGAGGACUUGAUGCAGAAACAACAAGAAUAUGAAAUCCUGAAAGACGAGCUGAAGAAAGACAAAGGGAAUGUGGAAAGAGAUAAAAAUGGCAUGAAUCAAGUAAAAGAUUACUUGACGCAGAAAAUGUCCGACAUCCAGCAGCAAAUGCAAGUGUUGAAGCAAAGGUUAAAAUAUGAAAAGGACAGUCUGCAAAUCACAGCAAGUCGACUAGAAAAGACAAGAACACAUGCUGACAUCCUGUGUGUUGAGGUAAACAAACACAAAGCAAAAAAUCUGUCCCUUCAGCUUCACAAAACCAGAGACCUACUUGAGAAAGCUAAGAACACAAUUGUCAUAAAGCAAAAAGAACAACAACUGAUGGAAGAGGACAUCAAGAGACAAAUCAAAGAACUACAGUCAAGCCGGUAUGACUUGCAGAGCCAAAGACAAGAACUGGGACUUUUAAGGCAAGAUCUCAACAAUGAGAUAGAAGAGGUCCGGGCUGCAAAGGAGACCAUGAAGGUGAAAAGUGAUCAAAUAAGUCACAUGCAGACUGUCCUUGACACAGAGAGAGAAAUGCUUUGGAACCAGAAAGAUACAAUGGAAGAACAAAUAUUAAAUCUACAUAGGAGAGCUGAUCAAAUUAUGGAAUGCGAAAAGCAUCUACGGGUUCUGAGUGAAAAAAUUAAGCAUGUGAGUGAGAGGAUGACUGGUGCCAUUGCAGAUAAACUUAGCAGGCUCCAAAGCGACAAUGGAAAUGUAGUGAAGAUGGUCAGUCAUUUGGAACAAGAGCAUAUCUCUCUAGAUUCCCUGAAAACACAUAUGCUUUUCUACUCUGAAAUACUGCAGAAGGCAAAGGAAGGAUACAUAUGCCUGAUAACAGACUUUGCCAGGCAACAAGAAGAAAUAAGAGAUCAACUGAUGCACCAGCUUGUAUUGGAAAAGCAAGAAAGGGAAACUCUGAAAAACUGGCUGAAGAAAGACAGAGACAAUCUGGAAAGAGAGAAAAAUGGCAUGAAUCAAGAAAAAGAAAACUUGUUGCAGAAACAACAAGAGUGUGAAACCCUAAAAGACGAGCUGAAGAAAGACAGAGACAAUCUGGAAAGGGAGAAAAAUAGCAUCCAUCUAGAAAAAAGGAACUUGAUGCAGAAACAACAAGAGUAUGAAACCCUAAAAGACGAGCUGAAGAAAGACAGAGACAAUCUGGAAAGGGAGAAAAAUAGCAUCCAUCUAGAAAAAAGGAACUUGAUGCAGAAACAACAAGAGUAUGAAACCCUAAAAGACGAGCUGAAAAAAGACAGAGACAGUCUGGAAAGACAGAAAAAUGGCAUGAAUCAAAUGAAAGAGGACUUGAUGCAGAAACAACAAGAAUAUGAAAUCCUGAAAGACGAGCUGAAGAAAGACAAAGGGAAUGUGGAAAGAGAUAAAAAUGGCAUGAAUCAAGUAAAAGAUUACUUGACGCAGAAAAUGUCCGACAUCCAGCAGCAAAUGCAAGUGUUGAAGCAAAGGUUAAGAUAUGAAAAGGACAGUCUGCAAAUCACAGCAAGUCGACUAGAAAAGACAAGAACACAUGCUGACAUCCUGUGUGUUGAGGUAAACAAACACAAAGCAAAAAAUCUGUCCCUUCAGCUUCACAAAACCAGAGACCUACUUGAGAAAGCUAAGAACACAAUUGUCAUAAAGCAAAAAGAACAACAACUGAUGGAAGAGGACAUCAAGAGACAAAUCAAAGAACUACAGUCAAGCCGGUAUGACUGGCAGAGCCAAAGACAAGAACUGGGACUUUUAAGGCAAGAUCUCAACAAUGAGAUAGAAGAGGUCCGGGCUGCAAAGGAGACCAUGAAGGUGAAAAGUGAUCAAAUAAGUCACAUGCAGACUGUCCUUGACACAGAGAGAGAAAUGCUUUGGAACCAGAAAGAUACAAUGGAAGAACAAAUAUUGAAUCUACAUAGGAGAGCUGAUCAAAUUAUGGAAUGCGAAAAGCAUCUACGGGUUCUGAGUGAAAAAAUUAAGCAUGUGAGUGAGAGGAUGACUGGUGCAAUUGCAGAUGACCUUAGCAGGCUCCAAAACGACAAUGGAAAUGUAGUGAAGAUGGUCAGUCAUUUGCAACAAGAGCACAUCUCUCUAGAUUCCCUGAAAACACAUAUGCUUUUCUACUCUGAAAUACUGCAGAAGGCAAAGGAAGGAUACAAAUGCCUGAUAACAGACUUUGCCAGGCAACAAGAAGAAAUAAGAGAUCAACUGGUGCACCAGCUUGUAUUGAAAAAGCAAGAAAGGGAAACUCUGAAAAACUGGCUGAAGAAAGACAGAGACAAUCUGGAAAGAGAGAAAAAUGGCAUGAAUCAAGAAAAAGAAAACUUGUUGCAGAAACAACAAGAGUAUGAAACCCUAAAAGACAAGCUGAAGAAAGACAGAGACAAUCUGGAAAGGGAGAAAAAUAGCAUCCAUCUAGAAAAAAGGAACUUGAUGCAGAAACAACAAGAGUAUGAAAUCCUGAAAGACGAGCUGAAGAAAGACAAAGGGAAUGUGGAAAGAGAUAAAAAUGGCAUGAAUCAAGUAAAAGAUUACUUGAAGCAGAAAAUGUCCGACAUCCAGCAGCAAAUGCAAGUGUUGGAGCAAAAGUUAAGAGAUGAAAAGGAUAGUCUGCGAAUCACAGCAAGUCGACUAGAAAAGACAAGAACACAUGCUGACAUCCUGUGUGUUGAGGUUAACAAAGACAAAGCAAAAAAUCUGUCCCUUCAGCUUCACAAAACCAGAGACCUACUUGAGAAAGCUAAGAACACAAUUGUCAUAAAGCAAAAAGAACAACAACUGAUGGAAGAGGACAUCAAGAGACAAAUCAAAGAACUACAGUCAAGCCGGUAUGACUUGCAGAGCCAAAGACAAGAACUGGGACUUUUAAGGCAAGAUCUCAACAAUGAGAUAGAAGAGGUCCGGGCUGCAAAGGAGACCAUGAAGGUGAAAAGUGAUCAAAUAAGUCACAUGCAGACUGUCCUUGACACAGAGAGAGAAAUGCUUUGGAACCAGAAAGAUACAAUGGAAGAACAAAUAUUGAAUCUACAUAGGAGAGCUGAUCAAAUUAUGGAAUGCGAAAAGCAUCUACAGGUUCUGAGUGAAAAAAUUAAGCAUGUGAGUGAGAGGAUGACUGGUGCCAUUGCAGAUAAACUUAGCAGGCUCCAAAGCGACAAUGGAAAUGUAGUGAAGAUGGUCAGUCAUUUGGAACAAGAGCAUAUCUCUCUAGAUUCCCUGAAAACACAUAUGCUUUUCUACUCUGAAAUACUGCAGAAGGCAAAGGAAGGAUACAUAUGCCUGAUAACAGACUUUGCCAGGCAACAAGAAGAAAUAAGAGAUCAACUGAUGCACCAGCUUGUAUUGGAAAAGCAAGAAAGGGAAACUCUGAAAAACUGGCUGAAGAAAGACAGAGACAAUCUGGAAAGAGAGAAAAAUGGCAUGAAUCAAGAAAAAGAAAACUUGUUGCAGAAACAACAAGAGUGUGAAACCCUAAAAGACGAGCUGAAGAAAGACAGAGACAAUCUGGAAAGGGAAAAAAAUAGCAUCCAUCUAGAAAAAAGGAACUUGAUGCAGAAAACAACAAGAGUAUGA
Molecule: long non-coding RNA, 20183 nt
Organism: Betta splendens (Siamese fighting fish)
Lineage: Eukaryota; Metazoa; Chordata; Actinopteri; Anabantiformes; Osphronemidae
Source: Ensembl